This 549-nucleotide non-coding RNA is filed under the name Glossina morsitans morsitans. Its description in RNAcentral is "eukaryotic small subunit ribosomal RNA". It matches the Rfam family "Eukaryotic small subunit ribosomal RNA", at positions 1201 to 1650 of the family's 1831-position model. The record is from RNAcentral. Lineage: Eukaryota; Metazoa; Arthropoda; Insecta; Diptera; Glossinidae.
CCACUAAAUGAUAAGCUUUAGCUUUAUCAUAAUAUUCCCAAGUGAAUUUCUCGGGAAAACUUACCAGGUCCGGACAAAAGGGUAUAAGAGAGAUUGAUAGCUCUUACUCGAAUCUAUAGGUGAUGGCACACAUUCUUAAUUCGUGGAGUGAUUUGCCUGGACGAGAUUCAAAAUCGAUGCUUUCAGGAUUAUGGUGUUGAAGCUUUUAUGGCCUUCAUUUAGGAGCAUAGUAAGAUGUGUGAGUGUGUGAAUGUGUUUAUAAAAGUGGCGCCGUAACGGUUGGUUUGUCCUUUUAAAGAACACUAGCUUCUUAGGCAGACAAACUGCGUCUAGUAAUACUAAAAUUGAGCAAUAACAGGUCUGUGAUGACAUUAGAUGUCCUGGGCUGCACGCGCCCUACCACGAAUGUAUCAACGUGUAUUUCCUCGACCGAGAGGCCCAGGUAAGCCGCUGAAACGCUUUCAUGCUUGAGAUUGCCAAUUGAAACUUUUCACAUGAACUUGGAGUUCCCAGUAAGUGUGAGUCAUUAACUCGCAUUGAUUACGUGCC